This 1421-nucleotide ribosomal RNA is filed under the name Staphylococcus chromogenes. Its description in RNAcentral is "bacterial SSU rRNA". It matches the Rfam family "Bacterial small subunit ribosomal RNA". Lineage: Bacteria; Bacillati; Bacillota; Bacilli; Caryophanales; Staphylococcaceae. The record is from RNAcentral.
UACAUGCAAGUCGAGCGAACUGACGAGGAGCUUGCUCCUUUGACGUUAGCGGCGGACGGGUGAGUAACACGUGGGUAACCUACCUAUAAGACUGGAAUAACUCCGGGAAACCGGGGCUAAUGCCGGAUAACAUAUCGAACCGCAUGGUUCGAUAGUGAAAGACGGUCUUGCUGUCACUUAUAGAUGGACCCGCGCCGUAUUAGCUAGUUGGUGAGGUAACGGCUCACCAAGGCAACGAUACGUAGCCGACCUGAGAGGGUGAUCGGCCACACUGGAACUGAGACACGGUCCAGACUCCUACGGGAGGCAGCAGUAGGGAAUCUUCCGCAAUGGGCGAAAGCCUGACGGAGCAACGCCGCGUGAGUGAUGAAGGUCUUCGGAUCGUAAAGCUCUGUUGUUAGGGAAGAACAAAUGUGUAAGUAACUGUGCACAUCUUGACGGUACCUAACCAGAAAGCCACGGCUAACUACGUGCCAGCAGCCGCGGUAAUACGUAGGUGGCAAGCGUUAUCCGGAAUUAUUGGGCGUAAAGCGCGCGUAGGCGGUUUUUUAAGUCUGAUGUGAAAGCCCACGGCUCAACCGUGGAGGGUCAUUGGAAACUGGAAAACUUGAGUGCAGAAGAGGAAAGUGGAAUUCCAUGUGUAGCGGUGAAAUGCGCAGAGAUAUGGAGGAACACCAGUGGCGAAGGCGGCUUUCUGGUCUGUAACUGACGCUGAUGUGCGAAAGCGUGGGGAUCAAACAGGAUUAGAUACCCUGGUAGUCCACGCCGUAACGAUGAGUGCUAAGUGUUAGGGGGUUUCCGCCCCUUAGUGCUGCAGCUAACGCAUUAAGCACUCCGCCUGGGGAGUACGGUCGCAAGACUGAAACUCAAAGGAAUUGACGGGGACCCGCACAAGCGGUGGAGCAUGUGGUUUAAUUCGAAGCAACGCGAAGAACCUUACCAAAUCUUGACAUCUUUUGACCACUCUAGAGAUAGAGUUUUCCCUCUUCGGAGGACAAAAUGACAGGUGGUGCAUGGUUGUCGUCAGCUCGUGUCGUGAGAUGUUGGGUUAAGUCCCGCAACGAGCGCAACCCUUGAGCUUAGUUGCCAUCAUUAAGUUGGGCACUCUAAGUUGACUGCCGGUGACAAACCGGAGGAAGGUGGGGAUGACGUCAAAUCAUCAUGCCCCUUAUGAUUUGGGCUACACACGUGCUACAAUGGACAAUACAAAGGGCAGCGAAACCGCGAGGUCAAGCAAAUCCCAUAAAGUUGUUCUCAGUUCGGAUUGUAGUCUGCAACUCGACUACAUGAAGCUGGAAUCGCUAGUAAUCGUAGAUCAGCAUGCUACGGUGAAUACGUUCCCGGGUCUUGUACACACCGCCCGUCACACCACGAGAGUUUGUAACACCCGAAGCCGGUGGAGUAACCAUUUGGAGCUAGGC